RNAcentral lists this signal recognition particle RNA (206 nucleotides) under Clostridiales bacterium. RNAcentral's name for it is "signal recognition particle sRNA large type". It matches the Rfam family "Bacterial large signal recognition particle RNA", at positions 56 to 256 of the family's 256-position model. Rfam says of the family: The signal recognition particle (SRP) is a universally conserved ribonucleoprotein involved in the co-translational targeting of proteins to membranes. Archaeal SRP consists of a 7S RNA and homologues of the eukaryotic SRP19 and SRP54 proteins. The record is from RNAcentral. Lineage: Bacteria; Bacillati; Bacillota; Clostridia; Eubacteriales.
CCGCGUUUUCCAGACAGGGCUGGGUCCUGACAGCUGCCUGUCGGGGAUGGUGAUGAUGUUUGGGUCUUACGCAAUGAGCAUCUGCGAACCGUGUCAGAUCGGGAACGAAGCAGCACUAAGCAGAACCGUUCAUGUGCCGUGAGGAAACCUGGCGGAGCCAUUCCUGCAGUACCGUGUCAGGGUCCUGCCGUAUCCGGAAGGCGCGG